RNAcentral lists this ribosomal RNA (390 nucleotides) under uncultured bacterium. RNAcentral describes it as "bacterial SSU rRNA". It matches the Rfam family "Bacterial small subunit ribosomal RNA", at positions 28 to 419 of the family's 1533-position model. The record is from RNAcentral.
GACGAACNCUGGCGGCGUGCUUAACACAUGCAAGUCGAGCGGUAAGGCCCUUUCGGGGGUACACGAGCGGCGAACGGGUGAGUAACACGUGGGUGACCUGCCCUCAGCUCUGGGAUAAGCCUGGGAAACCGGGUCUAAUACUGGAUAUGACUCCAUGACGCAUGUUGUGGGGUGGAAAGCCUUGUGCGGCUGAGGAUGGGCCCGCGGCCUAUCAGCUUGUUGGUGGGGUGAGGGCCUACCAAGGCGACGACGGGUAGCCGGCUUGAGAGGGCGACCGGCCACACUGGGACUGAGACACGGCCCAGACUCCUACGGGAGGCAGCAGUGGGGAAUCUUGCGCAAUGGGCGAAAGCCUGACGCAGCGACGCCGCGUGAGGGAUGACGGCCUGG